This 484-nucleotide ribosomal RNA is filed under the name uncultured organism. Its description in RNAcentral is "bacterial SSU rRNA". It matches the Rfam family "Bacterial small subunit ribosomal RNA", at positions 29 to 507 of the family's 1533-position model. The record is from RNAcentral.
AGUGAACGCUGGCGGCAGGCCUAACACAUGCAAGUCGAGCGGCAGCGCGGGGGCAACCCUGGCGGCGAGCGGCGGACGGGUGAGGAACACAUCGGAAUCUACCUUCUUGUGGGGGAUAACGUAGGGAAACUUACGCUAAUACCGCAUGAGACCUGAGGGUGAAAGCAGGGGACCGCAAGGCCUUGCGCGAGAAGAUGAGCCGAUGUCCGAUUAGCUGGUUGGUGAGGUAAAGGCUCACCAAGGCGACGAUCGGUAGCUGGUCUGAGAGGAUGAUCAGCCACACUGGAACUGAGACACGGUCCAGACUCCUACGGGAGGCAGCAGUGGGGAAUAUUGGACAAUGGGCGCAAGCCUGAUCCAGCCAUGCCGCGUGUGUGAAGAAGGCCUUCGGGUUGUAAAGCACUUUUGUUCGGGAAGAAAUCUUCCGGCCUAAUACGUCGGGAGGCUGACGGUACCGAAAGAAUAAGCACCGGCUAACUUCGUG